GUGGGUUUGCUGAUUUAUAGCCAGGUGAGGAAACAUAGAACAUGGAUUCUAGCCACAUGUCACUAGGUCUGUGUAACCUAACGUAGGUGCCAUAUGUAUUGGAAGUACAUUAUGUUUUAUUGGAUUACGCAUCAGUUUGUAUCAUUUCAUGUGUCAUAGAUUUGUGAUUGGUCAGAAAAAUAUAUUUAAGUUAAAAUUUAAUUACUAAGUAUUUUUCUAACCAAUCACAAACUCAUGACAUAUGAAAUGACACAACUGUAGGAUACUAGAUAUGCACUCGUUUUAUUGUGGAAAAACAAUAUGGGCUGAUGUUCUAUUUAUUUUCAAUUUGACUCUUUAAGAAAACUAAUACCAAAUGGUAAUCAUAUACGAACUAUAUAUAUAAAUAUUUAUAAUCAUAAUUAAUUAUAGAUAUUUCACUCAUGUUUUUUUACAUCAAGUCAAUAUGUUUAUUUCUAAGAUGUAUUUUCUUAAACAUGAGUACAUAAAAGAUAAAAAAUAAGUUUAAGGUAAAGAUCGUUAACGAAUUUAUUUUUUUUAAUCAAAAUGACCAAAUUUAUUAUUCAAAUAAUAAAGAUUAUGCAUUGACAAAAAAGUGUUGAGUGGGGAAGUGUCGGGAUAAGAUUUAAUGUCUCAUUGCUAAAACAAGUAAUUGUGAUUUCAAAGUUUGAUAUUCUAGACCGACCAAAUAUAAUGGCACUUGAAGUGAUUAUGGAAUAUAGAUUGCUCUCAAAUGUUAAUACAGGUCUUUGAAUUUUUUUACAGCCCAAGAAAACUUAGAAGUACUAGUAGUGUGAUUGGUCUAUAGAUUAUAUUUGUGAGCACAGUAGAAUGAGAUUCAAACACUUUAUAAGGACGGUAGAAAAUAGGUAUUUAAUAGUGUUCACUUAAACGAGUGAUGUUAAAUGCCCACAUUUUACAAUGUUCGUUUGAAUGUGCGCCGUAGAAAUUUAUGUUUAAUGCCUACUUUCUAUAGCACCCUCAAGUGAGUGAUAUAGAAUCUAAAAUUUUCUAACACUUUUUAUAAUGUUUGCUUAAGCAAGUGCUAUUGAAGCUAACAAUAAUAUUGUUUGAUAAUAAUAAUACUAUUAAUGCAUCAAUUGUUAUAUCAAAUAGUAUAUGCAUAGAUAAAUAUAUGAAAUACAUCCGGUAGCACACAUAUAAUAUACUAACAACACAUGUUUAAACUUUUUUUCUUUUCUUUGAUCAAUAGAGACUUGUGUUAAUCUUUCUUGGAAGAAAAUAUGGAUUUACCCAAAUCAACCCUCUUAUCAUGACCAACACUUCUAUAUAAAUUAUCAUCUGUAGUUGGAUCGCUCUCGUAUGAUUGUAAUAUCCCAAAGAAAGGAUCAUCAUUAGCUUCAAUGUCAUUGUUGUCUUGACCAUGAAUAUUAUUGACGAUUAUUUUGUUAGUCGAAAGAACAAUAGAACAUUUCACAUCAGCUAGGUCAUCGACAUAAAAUACUUGUUGAGCUUGUGAUGCUAGAAUAAGAGGAUCAUCUUUAAAUCCUGACCUAUUAAGAUCCACCUGCGUGAACUCUAACUUAUCAACCUGAAAGUCAUUGUUGUUAUCAACCCACAUACAAAAAAUACUGGUACCUAAAAUAUUGUGUAAUCCAAUUGCCAUAUAUGUUCAAUGGCUCCAAAGUAUGAUAUAUUUACAUAUAUGAGGUUUUUAUCUUUGAUAGUUGACAUAUGUAUAGUUUGAGCAACAAUAGUCACA
RNAcentral lists this long non-coding RNA (1723 nucleotides) under Lupinus angustifolius (narrow-leaved blue lupine). RNAcentral's name for it is "long non-coding RNA (LANG_LNC001940)". Lineage: Eukaryota; Viridiplantae; Streptophyta; Magnoliopsida; Fabales; Fabaceae. The record is from RNAcentral.